RNAcentral lists this ribosomal RNA (1053 nucleotides) under Triticum aestivum (bread wheat). RNAcentral's name for it is "partial small subunit ribosomal RNA". Lineage: Eukaryota; Viridiplantae; Streptophyta; Magnoliopsida; Poales; Poaceae. The record is from RNAcentral.
AUGGAAGGGAACACUAGAGGAGGUGGGCAUUCUGACGCAUUAAAGAACUACAAUGUGGGCAGAACAUUAGGUAUAGGCACAUUUGGAAAAGUGAGGAUUGCAGAGCAUAAGCAUACAGGGCACAAAGUUGCUAUAAAGAUUCUGAACCGUCGUCAAAUGAGAACUUUGGAAAUGGAAGAGAAAGCAAAGAGAGAGAUCAAGAUAUUGAGGUUGUUCAUCCACCCUCAUAUCAUCCGGCUUUAUGAGGUCAUUUACACACCUACAGAUAUAUUUGUUGUGAUGGAAUAUUGCAAGUAUGGUGAGCUAUUCGACUGCAUUGUUGAGAAAGGGCGGUUACAGGAAGAUGAGGCUCGUCGAAUCUUCCAGCAGAUUAUAUCUGGUGUUGAAUACUGCCACAGAAACAUGGUUGCUCAUCAUGAUCUAAAGCCAGAGAACCUGUUACUUGAUUCCAAAUACAAUGUGAAUCUUGCCGACUUUGGGUUAAGUAAUGUCAUGCAUGAUGGCCAUUUUCUGAAGACUGCCUGCGGGAGUCCAAACUAUGCUGCACCAGAGGUUAUCUCACGUAAAUUAUAUGCUGGACCUGAGGCUGAUGUUUGGAGCUGCGGGGUGAUACUUUAUGCUCUUCUUUGUGGCACUCUUCCAUUUAAUGAUGACAAUAUUCCCAAACUGUUCAAAAAGAUAAAGGGAGGCAUCUAUACCCUUCCAAGUCAUUUAUCUGCUCUUGCAAGGGAUUUGAUCCCAAGAAUGCUUGUUGUUGAUCCUAUGAAGAGAAUCACAAUUCGGGAAAUUCGAGAACACCCAUGGUUUCAGAAUCGCUUUCCUCGCUACCUGGCAGUGCCUCCACCAGACACGGCGCAGCAAGCCAAAAUGAUUGAUGAAGAUACACUUAAAGAGAUUGUCAACCUGGGGUAUGAUAAAGACCAUGUGUGUGAAUCAUUGUGCAAUAUGCUGCAAAAUGAGGCAACUGUUGCAUAUUACUUACUCUUGGACAAUCGGUUCCGUGCCACUAGUGGCUAUUUGGGGGCUGACUAUCUACAAUCAAUGGAGUUUUAA